This is a long non-coding RNA of Brassica oleracea var. oleracea, 1233 nucleotides long. RefSeq lists it as uncharacterized. The transcript is spliced from 4 exons. The record is from RefSeq and is a predicted model, not a curated record. NCBI's taxonomy places the organism in Eukaryota, Viridiplantae, Streptophyta, Magnoliopsida, Brassicales, Brassicaceae.
CCACUACGUCGACUUCAAUGAUCCCUCUCCAGGCUCCAACACCGAUUUCAUUACCCCUAAUUCUUCAUACUAGCCAACGAAUAACCCAAAGAUUUUCUGAUCGCCACUGAGGCCAAAGCUCCGCGUAGCAAACCUCCUCUCCGUCUUCGACUUCAAUUUCACCACCGCACUACCACUUUGUUCUCUUCGCCAUCAUAUGUUCUCAUUCCCACCGGUUUGUACUACCUUUUUGUUCAGUCCUUAACCAACAUUUUCUCUCCUGUUUAUCACUAUAUAAUCUGAUUUUCUGAUAUCUAAAAGGUUUUAGGAGAAUAGCUUUUCAACCCACCCAAUUUGGUUUCAGUGACGACUCCUUAAUUUAUUGAAUUCUCGGUCUAAAAGAGAGUACAACGGAAGGUCUAUUAAGUAUGAAGAAGCUACAAUCAUCACUGAUGUACCUUGGAAAAAGUUUUUGAAUUUAAAAUUGGUUUCUUCGUUUAAAUCCUCAAAAUUGAGUAAAGUGAAAGUUUUUGUUGAAGCUUUUGCCUUGCCUAGAGCUUGGACUAGGGGUUUUGGUUCUUUUUGGCAGGAGGAAGGAGCCAGUCCAGUUUAUGUGCUCAAACCGUGAGGCCUUUGAAGAGAUCAGUCCUCAAACUUAUGUCUUCGAGCUUCUUAGUUUACUGCUCGGCGAUGAUUACACUGGGAAAAGACAAGGCGGUUUAAGCACUAUGCUUAAGAGGUUUAUUGAUUGCUUUAUUUACUUUUGGUGACGUGGUUGUAGGCCUGUUCCAUGAAGCAAAUAAGAAAUAGUUCCAUGUAGCUAAGAAGAUAGAUAAGAAACGACAAUCAGCCAUUACUAAGUUUAAUAUAUUCCGCAAUGACUGUACAUGGCUCUGGCAUGUAGUUGGAGCCGAGACUCAACGGUUUGUCCACAUGACUAACUGGCGGUACAAGUUCAUGAAAUCAUAGAUAAGGUUUCAGCACGUGCUUGAUGUUUGGGGUGUGAACAAAUCGCUGAAGAAUGUGGCUAAGAAGGCGAUAAAGUGAUCAUAGGAGAGAUGUCUGGAGUUGGUGUGGCAUGACUCAACCAAUGGGUCAAACAAGACUACGACACUUAGUUAGAUGGCCUCAAUGGAGAUGAACCAUACCGACCUGAGAAGUGAAUCAUAUGUCUUUUCUAGUCAAUGAUUAACCAACAAGUUGCAAAUCACUAUGUAUAUAUGUUUUUCUGACAGUUAUGUAUGUAUGCUUAAA